This 81-nucleotide transfer RNA is filed under the name Nematostella vectensis (starlet sea anemone). It matches the Rfam family "tRNA". From Rfam's summary of the family: Transfer RNA (tRNA) molecules are approximately 80 nucleotides in length. Their secondary structure includes four short double-helical elements and three loops (D, anti-codon, and T loops). Further hydrogen bonds mediate the characteristic L-shaped molecular structure. tRNAs have two regions of fundamental functional importance: the anti-codon, which is responsible for specific mRNA codon recognition, and the 3' end, to which the tRNAs corresponding amino acid is attached (by aminoacyl-tRNA synthetases). tRNAs cope with the degeneracy of the genetic code in two manners: having more than one tRNA (with a specific anti-codon) for a particular amino acid; and 'wobble' base-pairing, i.e. permitting non-standard base-pairing at the 3rd anti-codon position. The record is from Rfam by way of RNAcentral. Lineage: Eukaryota; Metazoa; Cnidaria; Anthozoa; Actiniaria; Edwardsiidae.
GGUAGCGUGGCCGAGCGGUCUAAGGCGCUGGUUUUAGGCAUUAUUUUUGAAGAGGCGUAGGUUCGAAUCCCACUUUUGCCA